CUGAGCCUGCCUGCGGCUCUCAGCUGAGGCUCCCCGGAGAACCCCAGAGCCGCAGAGCGCCGGGGCCAUUCGGCGUCCUCUCCCGCCUCUGCCGACUCCCGUGCCAACGCCGCAUGGCGUCCCUGCUGCACCUGGAGGCACGUGCUCGUAUCUGACGGUCCUCCAGAGCUUGCGUGCGCCUGGCAGAUACAGUGUGGCUCCCGCGUGUCUUCUUUUCCCUUCACACUCAGUGACGGCCGGGCCGGGAAACCGUGCUUCUCUCUAUCGAUGGCGUUAUCCAGACGCUUCACAUCUUUGCUGGUGGAAGCUGGAGCCGUCCGUGCGCAGAGAGUUGCUGGAGUGGGACACUGGUCAUCUGUGGCUUUCUGUCUUCUGAAGCUAUGUUUUGGUUGCAUAUAUGUUCCGUUUUUCUGAUUUGUAGUCAUCUCACAAGUGCUGGCAUUCCUCUUUGUCCCUGGUGAUGCUAUUACUUUAAAAUGGUUGUCAUGGGGGCGCCUGGGUGGCUCAGUGGGUUAAGUGUCUGCCUUCGGCUCAGGUCAGGAUCUCAGGGUCCCGGGAUAGAGCCCCGCAUUGGGCUUCUUGCUCAGCGGGGAGCCUACUUCUCCCUCUGCCUCUGCCCCUCCCCUGCUCAUGCUCUCUCUCUCUCUCUGACAAAUAAAUAAAUAAAAUCUUUAAAAAAUAAAUUAAAA
Molecule: long non-coding RNA, 689 nt
Filed under: Ursus maritimus (polar bear)
Lineage: Eukaryota; Metazoa; Chordata; Mammalia; Carnivora; Ursidae
Description: lncRNA (ENSUMAG00000024699.1)
Source: RNAcentral